This 6311-nucleotide long non-coding RNA is filed under the name Salvia miltiorrhiza (redroot sage). RNAcentral describes it as "long non-coding RNA (SMIL_LNC011936)". Lineage: Eukaryota; Viridiplantae; Streptophyta; Magnoliopsida; Lamiales; Lamiaceae. The record is from RNAcentral.
AAAGAGGCCUCAUAUUCCACAGCUCUCACUUUCAAUCCCAACAACAUCUCAUCCAACACCUCAAAAACUCACUCUCCCGCGCUCUCGACUUUUUCCCUCCCCUCGCCGGCCGCCUCGCCGCCACCCCGCACGACGGCGACAUGGCGAGCUUCCACGUGGACUGCAACAACGCGGGAGCCGAGUUCACCCAUGCAGUCGCCGCCGCCGUCUCCAUCUCCGACAUCAUCGAGCCGACGUAUCUACCGGAAAUCGUGUCUUCCUUGAUCCCGAUCAAUACAGGCGUUUCUAAUUACCAAGGAAUUUCAAAGCCUCUGUUGGCCGUGCAAGUCACGGAGCUCGCCGACGGCGUCUUCAUCGGCUGCGCAGCCAAUCACGCAGUCGUGGACGGCGCUUCCUUCUGGCAUUUCCUCAACUCCUGGUAGGAGAUCUCCCACGGAUCGGAAUCAAUUUCGAAAUCCCCAAUUUUCGACCGCUGCAACACCGCCGCCGCCGGCGUUGAUAACAGACUCAUCCAUAUCCCUACAUUAGAGGAAAACCUAAUGCUCCAUCUCAAUUGCUGCCGCAGAAGGUAUUCCACUUCAGCAAAAGAAAAUUAGGUGAAUUGAAGGCGAAAGCCAAUUCCGAAGCCGGCACCGACAAAAUAUCUACUCUGCAAGCGCUCAUGGCUCAUCUAUGGCGGAGCACGGUACGCUCUCAAACCACUAAUAACGAUUCAACCACUCGCACCAUGGCAACAGCCAUAGGCGCGAGAGCCAGGAUGUCGUCUUUGCCGGAUGGAUAUUUUGGGAACGCGCUUUAUCCUGCUGCGUUGGCGAUUAGCGAGGGCGAGCUAUUGCAGAAAGGAUUAGGCGCCGCCGCGCUGAGGAUCAACGAGCUGAUCUCUAAGCAAACUGAUGAAGUGAUAAGACGCGGCGCGGAGAAGAAGGUGGACUUUCAGCAUAGGGAGGUGGGGAGUGGGCCCUUUCCUCUUUUCUUCGGAGGUUCUCACCGGCUAGAUGUGUACGGAUGUGAUUUUGGGUGGGGGAAACCGAUUGCUGUGAGGAGUGGGAAGGCGUGGAAUAUGGAGGGGCUGGUCGUGGUGUCUCCGGCGGCGGAAGCCGGCGGUAUCGACCUUGAAGUUUGCUUGUCGGAGGAGAAGUUAGUGGCAUUGGAGGAGUUCAUAACUAGUGUGUAAAUGUUUGUGGCGGUGUUUGCUUGUAUUUGUAAUAGAUAUUGUUGCUAGAUGUUUCAAGGAUUUUCGUGAGGUUGGAUUUCUGUGAAGGGUCUUUUUCGUGUUUUUUGGAUUAAAAAAAAAAAAAGAAGAAUAUUGUUAUUAGAUGUGUGCACAAUUUAAUUUAAAUCGUAAAUUAAAAUGGUUCGAAUUGUGUUUGUUGGAUUUGAUCUGAUUUAUAGUUUAAAAAAUAUGAUUCAAUUUAUAAUUUUUAUAAAAUUAUGAUGUACAUGUUUGAUUUAAAUAUCAUAGAACACAAAUUGAAACGUAGUUUUUCUGAAUAUGAUUAUGUAGAUUAUACUUAGUGAUAUUCUGAUUCUUAGUUUCGUGAAAAUUAAAUUGAUAUCUUAGGAAUAUAUUUUAUUGUUCUUAAUAUUUUAACGAUUUUAUACAUUGGAUUAUGAAAUGUUGGUACUAAAACAUACUCCCUCUGUCCCAAUAUUGUUGGCCACAUUUCCUUUUUAGUUUGUCCCACUAUUGUUGGCCACUUUCCUAAAAUGGAAAUAUUUAUCACAUUCAAUCUCUUACUUUAUCACAUUAUCUCUCCUACUUUAUCACUUUAUUACAUUCUCUCUCCUACUUUAUCACAUUAUCUCUCCUACUUUAUCAUUUUAUUACCUUCUCUCUCAUACUUUAUCACAUUCUCUCUCCUACUUUAUUAUUUUUAUACUAUAUUACCCACACACUUAAAAUACUAAUCUACAACUCCUUAAUUCCCGUGCCGAAACCAAAUGUGGCCAACAAUAUUGGGACGGAGGGAGUAACUAUCAACCUUCAUUUUUCCAAAUGAGAUCCUCUGUCCCAAAAUAUAGUGUGUACCACGCUUCAUUUCUGUAUAUUUUUAUACUAUUUCUUAUUUAAUUUUAAUUUAUUAUGAUUUUAUAUAAUAUAAAGAUAAUUAAUAAGGGUUCACUCAUCCAUUUAGGGUUUAUAAUUAUUUUUUUAUAUUUGUUUGAAUUAAUAAUAGAUUAUUUGGGUUCAUUAAUUCAAAGUUAGGGUAUAUAAUUUUUUAAAUUUUAAUUUUUCAAUGAUAAAUACUAAUUAGAGUUUAUAAUAUAAUAAUAAUUUUAUUUUUAUAAAAAUAAUUUAUAAAAUAAAGAAAUUAAGAGUGGUACACGUGCUACACACAAUAUUUUGGGACAGAGGAUCCCAUCUGUCAUUUUUCACGCUGAUGAAUUUUAUAGUAUUAGAUUUGAAAUCAAAUUAAGGUGAUAUUUUUCAUAAAACAACCAUUAUAGUCAACUUUGAAAAAAAAAACACGAAAUAGACAGCUUAUAUAUAUAUAAACCAAUUCGCAGAAAUUGGUUGGCUUCUCAGGAAGUUUCUCUAUUUAAACUUCUAUUCUACCAAGUUAUUUUCUCUCACACCCAAAAUUAGAAUUUGAAAAUGGCAAAAAAAGUGGAGGUGAUUUCUUCAUCUCUUGUCUGCGGCGCUGCUACUGCUGCUUCAAUGUCAAGUUUAGAGCUUAAUUCAUGGGAUUUGCGUUUAUUCCAUAUCUUCCCCAUUCAAAGAGGCCUCAUAUUCCACAUCCCUCACAUUCAAUCCCAACAACACCUAAUCCAACACCUCAAAAACUCACUCUCCCGCGCUAUCGAUUUUUUCCCUCCCCUCGCCGGCCGCCUCGUCGCCACCCCGCACGGCGGCGACACGGCCAGCUUCUUCGUGGACUGCAACAACGCAGGAGCCGAGUUCACUCAUGCAGUCGCCGCCGCCGUCUCCAUCUCCGACAUCAUCGAGCCGAGGUAUACACCGGAAAUCGUGUCUUCCUUGUUGCCGAUCAUAGGCGUUCACUAAUUACGAAGGAAUUUCAAAGCCUCUGUUGGCGGUGCAGGUCACGGAUCUCGCUGACGGCCUCUUCAUCGGCUGCGCCGCCAAUCACGCCGUGGUGGACGGCAACUCCUUCUGGCAUUUCUUCAAAUCCUGGUCGGAGAUCUCCCGCGGUUCGGAAUCGAUUUCGAGAUCCCCAAUUUUUGACCGCUGCAAUGUCGCCGGCGCCACCGUGGAUAACAUACUCAUCCAUAUCCCUACAUUAGAGAAAAACCUAAUUGCUCCAUGUCAAUUGCCGCAGAAGGUAUUCCACUUCAGCAAGGAGAAAUUAGGUCAAUUGAAGGCUAAGGCCAAUUCCGAAGCCGGCACCGACAAAAUAUCUACUCUGCAAGCACUCAUGGCUCAUCUAUGGCGGAGCGUAGUUAGCUCCCAAACCACCAACGAUUCAACCACUCGCGUUAUGCUAAUCCCCAUCGGCGCAAGAGCGAGGAUGUCGUCUUUGCCGGAUGCCUAUUUCGGUAACGCAUCCUAUCUUGCUGUGUUGUUUAUUAGCGAGAGCGAUCUGUUGCAGAGAGGAUUGGGCGCCGCCGCGCUCAGGAUCAACGAGCUGAUUUCUCGGCAAACCGAUGAAGCGGCGACGCGCGACUUGGCGAAGAAGGUGGAAUUUCACAAGUCUGACGGGAGUGGCGCUCCGCCGCCUCUUGUCAUGGGGAGUUCUCCGCGACACGACGUGUACGGGUGCGAUUUUGGGUGGGGGAAGCCAAUUGGUGUGAGGAGUGGGAAGAUGCAAAAAUUUGAGGGGAUGGUGUAUUUUUUUCCGGCGGCGGAGGCCGGCGGUAUCGAUGUAGAAGUUUGCUUGGCGGAGGAGACAUUAGAUGCAAUGGAGUUCGCAUCUAAUCAUCUAAUCGAGUGAUUAUCUAUCACCUUGAAUGGUAUCAAUCUUAUCUCUCAAAUCUUAUCAAUUUUAUAAUAGAGGAGUGUUGAAUUUUUUCCUUAUAAGUUUCUGUGUGAUUUAAAGGGUGGUUAGAUUUUUUUUUUCAUUUUUUUUCUUCCUAAUAAUAUCUUAUUUUAUAUAUGGUCACUUGUAAUAGAUAGUUUGAAAUGAUUGAUGAGUCUACGUUGAAUAAUAUUAUCUUUGUAUAGUGGUGUGAAAAUAUUUUUGAACAUUUUUCUAUCGUAUCAUUUUUAGUAUACAUAUGACAAAAAAUAAGAAAAAUAUAACAUUUUUCUCAUCUUUUUUAUUCAACAUUUUUCAAUAAAAAAUUUACAACCAAAAUAAUGCAUAAAGUCUACACAAAUAUUGGAUUAUAAAAUGUUGGUAUGAAACACCAUGCAUGCACUAUCAACCGUUUACUUCAUUUUCACGUUAAAUUUGAAAUCGAAGCAAAGUGAUGUUUUUCAUAAAAUAAACCCUAAAGCCAAUUUUGAAAUAUAAAUUAUAGUUAUUUUUCUUAAUAAUCCUGUCACGAAAUAGACAGCUUUAUAUAUAAAAAUGAGUUUGCACAUAACGUGACUCGCAUGUAUAGCUGGCUUCUCAGGCAAGUUUCUCUAUUUAAUUUGUAUUCUACCAAAUUAAGCAAAUUAUCGGUACAAGACUAACACAUAUAUAUCAAAUAAAUUAAGCAAAUUACGCUAGUAUUCAUAUAAUAAUUCUAAAAUCUAACAUAUAAAUUAAAUAAUUUUAUAAAUAAAUUGCAAAAGACUAACUUCCUAGCAAAAUCCGGCCGUUGACAAAAAUUAAGAGGAGGUUGGAGAGAAAUGAGCCAACUGCAACCAAUUCCAAUUAAAUAAAUAUUCAAACUCAUGUAUACGUAGAAAACAAAUAUCUGGAAUAAAACACUUGUUAAAGUAUCUUACCUAAUGUAUAUUUUAAUCUAACAACUAAUAUGUACUAAUAUUGAUAUGAUCAUAUAUAUUACACUUAUAUAUAAUUAACCUAGUGGCCACUCAUAUGACUGUUGAAAAAUGUCAACUAUAUAUAUAAACGUUAUGAAAGCAUAUAUAUAUAUGACGGUUACAAAGUGUCAAAUAUAUUGCCAAAUAUCGUCAUGUUUAGUGUUAUACAUGACUGCCAAAAAGAGUCAAAAAUAAUAUUACAAGUGUCAUGUAUUAUAUAAUAUAAUACUUGACGGUUGCAAACCGUCAAGAAAAGUAAGUAUAGACAAUCAGGGACGGAUUCAAAUUUUUUUAAAACAAAUAUAAAUAUAAAAUACGUUAAAAAAAUUACUCUAUUAGUCCACGAAGAAAGGUCUNNNNNNNNNNNNNNNNNNNNNAAAGUGUACUAAAUAUAUAAUUUCAAAAAAUCGUCAUGUUUAGUGUUAUACAUGACGGCCAAAAAAGCGUUAAAAAUAAUAUUACGAGUGUACUUGACAGUUAACCGUCAAGAAAAGUAAACGUAAAUAAUCGUCAUUUAAUCUAGGAACUAUACAUGACAUCAUUACACUUGACGAUUUGCAAAGGGCAUAGAUGACUGCUUAAAACCAUCAUCUAUGAGCAUAUUAAUUUCUUGUAGUGUGGCUAUGGUUUAUUGAUCUAUAAUAUAAUUAAUUAAAAGUAUUCUCAAAAGGAUGUUUCCUGCACAACUAAAAUUUGUGCAUUUGACAGUUCGAAGAACAUGCCAAAUAUCAUAAAGUGAACAAAACUCCAUAGUUUGCAAUAUUUAACUAAUCAAAGUAAACCUAGUAUUUUCAUAAACUAACUAAAGUCAACUUAAAAAUAAAUAAAUGAUUGUUAUUUUUUUUUCAUAAUCCGAUGAUCACGAAAUAGACAGCUUUUAUAAAAACCAGUUUGUAGAAACAACUCAAGCAAGUUAAUUUCUCUAUUUAAGCAUCUAUAUAUUCUACCAAAUUCUUUUAUACUCACCCAAAUUAAUAGUUGAAGAUGGCAAAAAAGGUAGAGGUGAUUUCUUCAUCUCUUGUCACUGCAACUGCUGCUUCAUUCUCAAGUUUAGAGCUUAAUUCAUGGGAUCUACGUUUACUCCAUAUCUCCCCUAUUCAAAAAGGCCUCAUAUUCCACAGCCCUCACUUUCAAUCCCACCAAAACCUAAUCCAACGCCUCAAAAACUCCCUCUCCCGCGCUCUCGACUUCUUCCCUCCCCUCGCCGGCCGCCUCGCCGCCACCCCGCACGACGGCGACACGGCCACCUUCGUCGUGGACUGCAAAAACGCAGGAGCCGAGUUCACUCAUGCAGUCGCCGCCGCCGUCUCCAUCUCCGACAUCAUCAAGCCGAGGUAUAUACCGGAGAUCGUAUCCUCCUUGAUCCCGAUCAGCACAGGCGUCACGAAUUACGAAGGAAUUUCAAAACCUCUGUUGGCGGCGCAGGUCACGGAGCUCG